CACAUGUAUGUUUUACGUUUAAAAAUAACCUUCGCGAGCCGUCAGCGAAACGAAUUUACAUCGGGUACGUGUUGCACGUUCUUGGCUUUGGCAUUCACGAAUAACAACAGCAGAAAAACACUAUCACCUUCACGUAUUCCAAUGCAAAACCAUGAAGACAAAACACACAUCCCAACAAAAAAAAACCAACAAAAUACUGGCGACGUUUUGUCGACGCCGACGACUAAACACGCGCGAUUCCUGCUGGCCUGCUGUGUGCGCACGGAUCGAUGACGGAACAGCUGGUUGCGAGUCACGACGCCAACCUAUUGCAGCGCAAGCAGGAAAACUCACAUGGCUACACAUCGCAUAACAUCACAGCUGGUCACAUGCAUGCACACAGUGACAAAAUGGUUGAACUGCGCAGGAAAGUUCAUGCAUUGUGAAAUGUGACACAGUGUUAGACGUAUGAAAUGUAUCCUGCGAAUAAAUUUAGUUUUUAAAUUGUUU
Long non-coding RNA from Dalotia coriaria, 489 nucleotides. RefSeq lists it as uncharacterized. The transcript is spliced from 2 exons. The record is from RefSeq and is a predicted model, not a curated record. NCBI's taxonomy places the organism in Eukaryota, Metazoa, Arthropoda, Insecta, Coleoptera, Staphylinidae.